AUUGAACGCUGGCGGCAUGCCUUACACAUGCAAGUCGAGCGGCUGCAUGACGUAUGUUCCUGGGUUCAUCGGCGGACGCGUACGUGAUGCUUAUGCAUCUGCCUGUUCGUGGUGGUUAGGGAUAGCGUAGCGGCACUUAUGCCAAUUCCGCCUUGUCUCUGAGGAUGAAGGCUGUUGACCUUUCGCCCUUUCGCUUGAGCCUAGGUCGGAUUAGCUAGUUGGUGUGGUAAAGGUAUACCAAGGCCACGAUCCGUAGCGGGUCUGAGAGGAUGAUCAGUCACACUGGAACUGAGACACGGUCCAGACUCCUACGGGAGGCAGCAGUGGGGAAUAUUGGACAAUGGGCGAAAGCCUGAUCCAGCCAUGCCGCGUGAGUGAAGAAGGUCUUCGGAUUGUAAAGCACUUUAAGUUGGGAAGAAAGGGAAUAAGCUAAUACAGGGCGGGGAUGACGGUACCAGCAGAAGAAGCACCGGCUAACUACGUG
Molecule: ribosomal RNA, 484 nt
Filed under: uncultured bacterium
Lineage: Bacteria
Description: partial 16S ribosomal RNA
Rfam family: Bacterial small subunit ribosomal RNA
Source: RNAcentral